RNAcentral lists this ribosomal RNA (465 nucleotides) under Vreelandella stevensii. Its description in RNAcentral is "partial 16S ribosomal RNA". It matches the Rfam family "Bacterial small subunit ribosomal RNA", at positions 338 to 795 of the family's 1533-position model. Lineage: Bacteria; Pseudomonadati; Pseudomonadota; Gammaproteobacteria; Oceanospirillales; Halomonadaceae. The record is from RNAcentral.
CCUACGGGAGGCUGCAGUGGGGAAUAUUGGACAAUGGGGGCAAGCCUGAUCCAGCCAUGCCGCGUGUGUGAAGAAGGCCCGCGGGUUGUAAAGCACUUUCAGUGAGGAAGAACGGCUGGUGGUUAAUACCUAGCAGGAAAGACAUCACGCACAGAAGAAGCACCGGCUAACUCCGUGCCAGCAGCCGCGGUAAUACGGAGGGUGCGAGCGUUAAUCGGAAUUACUGGGCGUAAAGCGCGCGUAGGUGGCUUGAUAAGCCGGUUGUGAAAGCCCAGGGCUCAACCUGGGAACGGCAUCCGGAACUGUCAAGCUAGAGUGCAGGAGAGGAAGGUAGAAUUCCCGGUGUAGCGGUGAACUGCGUAGAGAUCGGGAGGAAUACCAGUGGCGAAGGCGGCCUUCUGGACUGACACUGACACUGAGGUGCGAAAGCGUGGGUAGCAAACAGGAUUAGAUACCCGAGUAGUC